RNAcentral lists this ribosomal RNA (700 nucleotides) under uncultured bacterium. RNAcentral's name for it is "bacterial SSU rRNA". It matches the Rfam family "Bacterial small subunit ribosomal RNA", at positions 59 to 736 of the family's 1533-position model. The record is from RNAcentral.
AAGUCGAACGUGAUCCGCCCUUCGGGGUAAUGAAAGUGGCGCACGGGUGAGUAACGCGUGGAUAAUCUGCCCGAGGAUUUGGGAUAACAUCUCGAAAGGGGUGCUAAUACCGAAUAAGCCCACGGGGUCUACGGAUCUUGCGGGAAAAGGGGGGGACCUUCGGGCCUCCUGUCCUUGGAUGAGUCUGCGUACCAUUAGCUAGUUGGUGGGGUAAUGGCCUACCAAGGCGACGAUGGUUAGCUGGUCUGAGAGGAUGAUCAGCCACACUGGAACUGAGACACGGUCCAGACUCCUACGGGAGGCAGCAGUGGGGAAUUUUGCGCAAUGGGGGAAACCCUGACGCAGCAACGCCGCGUGGGUGAUGAAGGCCUUCGGGUCGUAAAGCUCUGUCUGGAGGGAAGAAGUGAUUGGGAGCUAAUACCUCUUGAUCUUGACGGUACCUCUGAAGGAAGCACCGGCUAACUCCGUGCCAGCAGCCGCGGUAAUACGGAGGGUGCAAGCGUUGUUCGGAAUUAUUGGGCGUAAAGCGCGUGUAGGCGGUCUUUUAAGUCUGAUGUGAAAGCCCCGGGCUCAANCCUGGGAAGUGCAUUGGAAACUGGGAGGCUUGAGUACGGGAGAGGAGAGUGGAAUUCCUAGUGUAGGAGUGAAAUCCGUAGAUAUUAGGAGGAACACCCGGUGGCGAAGGCGGCUCUCUGGACCC